RNAcentral lists this long non-coding RNA (2097 nucleotides) under Phaseolus vulgaris (common bean). RNAcentral's name for it is "long non-coding RNA (PVUL_LNC003321)". Lineage: Eukaryota; Viridiplantae; Streptophyta; Magnoliopsida; Fabales; Fabaceae. The record is from RNAcentral.
CGUUCUCUAGCGCAUCAAACCCUAGCAAUUUAAGGUUAUAUAAAGGAGAUCACUAAUAGAGUACAUACAUAAUCUUAUAUACUUUUGAAGGUUCCUUGGUGAUAAGAGAUGAGGUAGUGUUGUAGUUUCAAAGACUGUGUAAAAAGAAAAACAAUAGAAAAAGGAAGAGCAAAAAUGAAGUUCUUAUCACCAUAGAUCAUCUUCAGGGCAAAUUAAGGAAAAAAUCGUAGUAGUGAUUGGUGUUUCACCAAUUGUAUUGGUUCUAUUCUUUUUCCUUUAACUUUGAUUAUAAUUUUAAUACGCUUUUAUCUACUUUUUACAAUUGACAGAUACAUCCACUUUUGAACAGACAAUUUUCCAGAUGUAAGAUUCUUUGGUAUUUAUUAGGGUUUGCUAAAAAUUUUGUAGGUGUUGCCUAGAGUAAGGUGGCACGGGGAAGAAACGAUCAAAGUGAGUACUUUAUUUACUAUCAUGAUUUUUUUCUUGUUAGUUUUAUAAUUCUUAUAUAAUUAAGUUUGUUUCUUGUGUAGGUACUUAUGAUUAUAAAUUUACUUCUUCUAUGGUAAUCUUAUUUCUUAAAUAAAGUAAAAGUAAGUCAAUUUAUGGAGUUUUAUCUUAUUGCUGAGAUGAUCAAACACACACAUAUAUCAAUUACUAUAUUUUUCGUGAAGAGGUAAAUUGGUUAUUGAUUUUGGCUACAAGAACACAUUUUUUCAUUGUAUAAUAUUUUUUAUUGAUAUAUUUCAUAUGCAAAGUUGUAUCUCUUUCACCUUCUACUUUUUACGACCUUUGCAAAUCUGAAACAAAUGAAAGAAAUUGUCUCCCUUUUUAUUAUCAUAAGAUCUUAACUUAAAGGUAAUAUGUGACAUUUGUUCAAUUUAGACUCCUUUUCACCCCUAUUUUUAUUCUUAUUGGAUUAUUUCAAAUAGUAUGAUUUUUGUUAAGUUACUUAAUUAUAAAUAUUUAUAUGUAAUGGUUAAUAUUUUGUAAACAUUGAAUAAUUUUAUUUUUUAAUUCCAACAUGUUAUAUGCAUACUGGUGAACUAUACCUCCUCAACCAUUGUGACAACUUCAUGUUUUCGUUAUCAUCCUCAUCACAGGAAUCCUCAAUAUCAUAUUCCGCAUGGUCAUCUUCAGAGUAAGAAUGAUUGAUCAUUACAACUGACUUCAUUAAUUAGUUAUUUUUCCCAUUUCUCUUACUCUUUUGAUCACUCUCCGCCAAUAAUUUUAACAACUCACAACCGAAAAAACUUAUGGUGAGAUAAUUGAUUUUUUACACUCCUUGACAGAGUAUGGGUUGAUGAAUAAGAGAAAGCGGAGAAAUAACUAAGUGAUUUAUCAAGUUGUGAUCGAGAAUCAUUACUACCCUGAAGAUGACCAUGUGAGCUAUGACAUCGAGGAUUCUUGAGAUGAGAAUGAUUACGACAAUAUCAAGUGCAGAAAAAGUUAAGGAAUCAUGUGUACACCAAUAAUGCAUAUAAGAUGCAAUGUGUUUAAUUUUGUUCCCAUUUAAAAAUACAAGUAUAACAUUGUUUUAGAUAUAUUGGUAAAUGUCAUGACUAUGAAUUAAGUUAAAAAAAUACAAAAGGUUAUACAUAUAUGUAAAUGUGUGGGUCGUGCAAGUUAGGAAAUUAUACUUAUUGAAUUAGAUUAUUUUGGAAAUCAUUUCGAUUGGGAAGGGGAAAUUCUAUUAAGUGCAUUUGGAAGUUUGGUAAAGAGACAUAAAAAUUGUUAUAUCUUUCAUUGAAAAGUCAUUCAUAAAGAAUUUAUUGUUGACAUGGUAAAGCCGAUUUAUUACUAAAAAAUUUCUAAGUAUUUUUCUUGUAAAAUUUUAUGUAUAUUGUUAAUGACACUCACGAUAGAUAAAAUUUAUUUUGUUUUUGAACUAAUUGAACAAAACAAAGCAUGUUAUAGUACAACAAAUUGAGUAUGAAAUGAAGACAAUGUAAACAUGAAUUGAAAUAAAAAGGAUAUAAAUUGCUAACACCAAGUAGAACACAACCACUUAUAUACCUAAUCUUGGAGUUGAUGCAUACCAAUAUCAUGAUUCGGUACAUAUUGUAUUUACUCUUUGGUUAACAAAAUUAUUUAUUAAGG